GGGACCGUAGGGUAGCUUGGUCCAUCCUACUAGGUCGGGGAUCUAGUGACCGGCGUUCAAAUCGCCGCGGUCCCA
RNAcentral lists this transfer RNA (75 nucleotides) under Methanosarcinales archaeon. RNAcentral's name for it is "tRNA-Pro". RNAcentral also lists the same sequence under 1 other name. The record is from RNAcentral. Lineage: Archaea; Methanobacteriati; Methanobacteriota; Methanomicrobia; Methanosarcinales.